Molecule: ribosomal RNA, 752 nt
Filed under: Bacillus tequilensis
Lineage: Bacteria; Bacillati; Bacillota; Bacilli; Caryophanales; Bacillaceae
Description: bacterial SSU rRNA
Rfam family: Bacterial small subunit ribosomal RNA
Source: RNAcentral
UGGCUCAGGCUGGAACACCUCCUAUAGAGGUUGAUCGUAGGCUCAGGGCGGACCACCGACUUACACGUGGGUAACCUGCCUGUAAGACUGGGAUAACUCCGGGAAACCGGGGCUAAUACCGGAUGGUUGUUUGAACCGCAUGGUUCAAACAUAAAAGGUGGCUUCGGCUACCACUUACAGAUGGACCCGCGGCGCAUUAGCUAGUUGGUGAGGUAAUGGCUCACCAAGGCAACGAUGCGUAGCCGACCUGAGAGGGUGAUCGGCCACACUGGGACUGAGACACGGCCCAGACUCCUACGGGAGGCAGCAGUAGGGAAUCUUCCGCAAUGGACGAAAGUCUGACGGAGCAACGCCGCGUGAGUGAUGAAGGUUUUCGGAUCGUAAAGCUCUGUUGUUAGGGAAGAACAAGUACCGUUCGAAUAGGGCGGUACCUUGACGGUACCUAACCAGAAAGCCACGGCUAACUACGUGCCAGCAGCCGCGGUAAUACGUAGGUGGCAAGCGUUGUCCGGAAUUAUUGGGCGUAAAGGGCUCGCAGGCGGUUUCUUAAGUCUGAUGUGAAAGCCCCCGGCUCAACCGGGGAGGGUCAUUGGAAACUGGGGAACUUGAGUGCAGAAGAGGAGAGUUGGAAUUCCACGUGUAGCGGUGAAAUGCGUAGAGAUGUGGGAGGAACACCAGUGGCGAAGGCGACUCUCUGGUCUGUAACUGACGCUGAGGAGCGAAAGCGUGGGGAGCGAACAGGAUUAGAUACC